UCAGCGGGUAUUCCUACCUGAUCCGAGGUCAAC
RNAcentral lists this ribosomal RNA (33 nucleotides) under Bionectriaceae sp. IBL 03143. RNAcentral's name for it is "partial 18S ribosomal RNA". Lineage: Eukaryota; Fungi; Ascomycota; Sordariomycetes; Hypocreales; Bionectriaceae. The record is from RNAcentral.